UUGGAAUCUGGUGGCAGUAAGUUAAUGCUUCACAUUAACCUUUAAGUCUGGGCCUAUUUAGAUUUUUGAAAAAUGAAAAGUUAAAUGAUGAACAAGAAAGGAAGGGUAGGAAAACUUAAGCUUCUCUUACAAUGGAUGUUCCUCCACAAAGGAAUGAUAGGUUUAAUCUGCAGAUAGCACAAAUACCUUUCUGACACAGCUGUCAUUGCAUCAACUGAUAUUGGGCACUGGUGUUUUUUGUGUUAAGUUUUGAUACAAGAUCUUUCUUUGGAAGUUUGUGUCCUCAUUUGUGCAGCAUAAUCUAUAAACAUAAAUUUAUUUGAUGCUGGAUAAGUUUAACUUUGAACCCAUUAAUGAGCUUCAUCAUUUUUG
RNAcentral lists this unclassified non-coding RNA (372 nucleotides) under Hevea brasiliensis (rubber tree). The record is from RNAcentral. Lineage: Eukaryota; Viridiplantae; Streptophyta; Magnoliopsida; Malpighiales; Euphorbiaceae.